UACGGAGGGGGCUAGCGUUGUUCGGAAUUACUGGGCGUAAAGCGUGCGCAGGCGGCUUGCCAAGUCAGAUGUGAAAGCCCCGGGCUCAACCCGGGAACUGCGUUUGAAACUGGCAGGCUAGAGUUUGGCAGAGGGGGGUGGAAUUCCACGUGUAGCAGUGAAAUGCGUAGAGAUGUGGAGGAACACCGAUGGCGAAGGCAGCCCCCUGGGCCAAAACUGACGCUCAGGCACGAAAGCGUGGGGAGCAAACAGG
RNAcentral lists this ribosomal RNA (253 nucleotides) under uncultured bacterium. RNAcentral describes it as "partial 16S ribosomal RNA". It matches the Rfam family "Bacterial small subunit ribosomal RNA", at positions 524 to 776 of the family's 1533-position model. The record is from RNAcentral.